Molecule: long non-coding RNA, 394 nt
Organism: Aethalodelphis obliquidens (Pacific white-sided dolphin)
Lineage: Eukaryota; Metazoa; Chordata; Mammalia; Artiodactyla; Delphinidae
Exons: 4
Source: RefSeq, a predicted model, not a curated record
AGAGGGGCCACCUGAAAAACAUUUCAGCAAAGAACUGUAACAUCAAGACACUGUCACCAGUGCCUUUUCCACUAAUCACUACUAAUAUGAGAGAAGCAGAGAGACCCAAGCCAAUGAAAAGCUGUAGGAAGCUGCAGAACACAUGAAAAUCCCAGCUGGUGAAUAAAAUCUAUCACGUUGGCAAAACAGUGGCACUUUGCUAAGCAGCGUGGGAGAUAUUAAGUGAACAAGUGGCAUUCUCUACCUUUGAAGAACUUUCCACUUAUUGGGGAGGUUCUAUAAAGGAGGCAAAGGUUUUGAAGACUAUCAAAGACAUCACAAUGGUAUAUUCCUAAGGGAUUUAGAGGCUCUUCAUCAACCAAAGGAAAAGCACCAGUGAGAGUCAGGAUGUGAU